UAAGAUUCCUACGGGAGGCUGCAGUGGGGAAUUUUAUUCAGUGGGCGCAAGCCUUAUCCCGCAAUUCCGCGUGCAGGAAGAAGGCCUUCGGGUUGUAAACGGCUCUUGUUCGGAGCAAAAAGGCUCUUUCUAAUGCAGGGGGCUCAUGUCGGUACCGUAAGAAUAAGCACCGCACUAACACGUGCCAGCAGCCGAGGUAAUACGUAGGGUGCAAGCGUUAAUCGGAACUCCUGGGCGUAAAGCGUGCGCAGACGGUUUUGUAAGUCUGCCGUGAAAUCCCCGGGCUCAACCUGGGAAUUGGGUUGGAGACUGCAAGGCUGGAGUGUGGCAGAGGGGGGUAGAAUUUCACGUGUAGCAGUGAAAUGCUUAGAGAUGUGGAGGAACACCGAUGGCGAAGGCAGCCCCC
This 406-nucleotide ribosomal RNA is filed under the name uncultured bacterium. RNAcentral's name for it is "bacterial SSU rRNA". It matches the Rfam family "Bacterial small subunit ribosomal RNA", at positions 331 to 729 of the family's 1533-position model. The record is from RNAcentral.